Long non-coding RNA from Pogoniulus pusillus (Red-fronted tinkerbird), 2069 nucleotides. RefSeq lists it as uncharacterized. The transcript has 3 exons. NCBI's taxonomy places the organism in Eukaryota, Metazoa, Chordata, Aves, Piciformes, Lybiidae. The record is from RefSeq and is a predicted model, not a curated record.
UACGAGUUGUGCCAGGGUCCAGCAUGGGGCUGCUGGGGGGGGCACAAGAGGUCAGGGGAGGCUGUUUGGGGGUUCAGGGCUUCAGCCCUCCCCCCUAGUGCCAGUGCCUGCAGCUGGCAGUGCUGGGCCAGCAGCCAGGGGUGCUCCUGCCUCAGCCCCUGGGCCUGGCCCCACAGUGCCUGCUCCUCGUGCUGGGCCUUCUGCAGAGCUGUGCAGAGAGGUUGCGGAGGUGUCAGAACCCCCCAGAGCCACAGCCCCCCCCGAGCCCCACAGCCUCCCCCCUGGGCAGCCUGAGCCCAGGGCUCCCUCCCGCCCCUCCGGCGCCGAGCGCAAGGGGGCGCAGGUGCGGCAAGGCCCCGCCCAGAGCUGGCAGCCAGAGCCAAUGGGAGGCGUGGGCAGAGCGGCCCCGCCCCCAAGGGCGCUGUGGGCUCCGGCCCCAGGGGCGUGAGCGCCAUUUUGGCUGGUGCUGGGCAGCGUCGUGGGAGCGCUGGAGCAGAGGCUGUGGUGUGCGCGGGCAGCGCUGCGUUGCAGGAGAGUUGCUUUGGCCUGCAGCUGUGCCUCAGAGUUUGUGAUGCUCAAGAGGCAGCUGUGCAGUAGCUGGUGCAGGAACUGAGCUGAACUGGAAGGCUGCAGGCCAGAAGAUGCAGGACUCUGCCCUUGUCCUUGUUGAACUUCACCUGGUUCCUCUGUGCCCAGCUCUCAGUCUGCCCAGGUCUCUCCUGAUGACAGCACAGCCUGCAGCUGUCUCAGCCAAGCCUCCCAGCUUGGUGUCAGCAGCAAACUUGCUGAGCAGCCUCUGUCUGUCUGUGCCCUCAUCAGUGUCAUUGAUGAAGAUGUUGACCAGGACUGUCCCCAGCACUGAUCCCUGUGGGACACCACUGGUCACAACUCUCCAGCUGAUCCUGGCACCAUUGCUCACCACCCUCUGCACUCUCUGUUGCAACCAGUUCCUAACCCACCUCACUGCCUGCUCUUCCAUCCCACACUGCCUCAGCUCGCUCACUAAAAUGUCAUGGGAGAUGGUGUCAAAGGCCUUGCUAAGGCCAAGGCAGACUCCAUCCACUGCUCUCCCUGAAUCUACCCAUUCAGUGAUGGCAUCAUAGAAUGCUCUGAGGUUAGUGAAGCAUGACUGCCCCUUGGUAAAUCCAUGCUGACUACUCCUGAUAAGCUUCUUCUCUCCCAAGAGCCUUGAGUUGACCUCCAGCAGGAGCUGCUCCAUCAUUUUUGCAGGGCUGGAGGUGAGGCUGCCUGGUCUGUAGUUUCCUGGAACUUCUUUCUUGCCCUUUUUGAAGCCUGCAGUGCCAUUGGCUCUGGUGCAGCCCUCAGGCACCUCUCCUGUCUGCCCUGAUUUGGCAAAGACGAUGGAGAGUGUCAGAGCAAUAACAUCAGGCAGUUGUCUCAGCACCCUUGGGUGCAUCUCAUCAGGGCCCUUGGACUUGUGAAUGUUUAGUUUGUAUAACUGAUCCCUAACCCAGUGUGCACUGACCAGUGGGGAGCACUCCCUCCUGCAGGCUUGCUCUCCUUCAUCCAGACUCUGGAGUCCAUAGGAGAGUUCAGUCUGAGGUGUAAAGAGUGAAGCCCAGAAGGCAUUCAGCAGCUCUGCCUUCUCUGCACCCUCAGUUCUCAGGCUGCCUCCUGGUCCAGCACUUCCCCCACACCUUCCCUGUUCUUCCUUUUCCUGCUGAUGGAUUUGAAGAAGCCUUUCUUGUUCUGUUUUCCUUCCUUUGCCAGCUUCAGUUGCAAGAGGGCUUUGGCCUUCCUUGCUGCUUUGCUACACAGCCCAAGGCAGGCCUGUAGGAAAGCAGUCCUCCUGCAGCUGCUCUGUUUCCUCCUCUGCCUCUCCCUGGAGGCUGCAUUUAGAAGCAUGGAACCAUAGAAUGGUUUGGGUUGGAAGGGACCUGCAGAGGUCAUUGAGUCCAAGCCCCUGCAGUCAGCAGGGACAUCCUGCAUUAGAUCAGGCUGCCCAGAGCCCUGUUGAGCCUCACCUUGAAUACAUCCAGGGCUGGGACCUCAACUCCUUCAUUGGGCACCCUGAGGUGUUGCAGCAGCCUCCUGAUGCAGAACUUGUU